UGCUUUUUUGUCAAAAGUUAAUCGCUGCUUGUCAUUUGCCACUUGACACAAUUGAGCCGUCCUCUUCAUAAAAUUGGCGACGAGUAGCGAUUUUUGGGCUCUGUUGUUUAGGGCCUGGACUGUUUGGGCUUUUUUAUUGAUAGUUAGAAGUCUUGAAAAGCAAUUUUGGUGGAAGUUGCAAUCAAAGAAUUAAUGUCAUUGGCGUCAAGGGAAAGGAAGGAAGGAGGUUGAAGAUUCCACAGUUUAAAGGAUAUUCUUUUGGUUAUCCCAUCUGUAAGUGAAUCCAUUCUCUCAGCAUUAUUAAAUUUCUGCUGUUAUUCUAAUUCUUGCUUUCUGGGUUUCGCUGCUAUGUAAUUGAGGAUUUUUAGUGUUCAAUUGCUUGCUUGACUUUGAAAUUGAAGAGACUAUAAUUUGAUUAGAGUCCCUUACAUGUUUGUGUCAGACAGUUAUUUUAUGAAAUUUUUUAACUGGGUAGUUGAUUGUUAUAAUAGUAGAUUGAGCAGUAGGUAUAUUCCCACAAGUUUUUUGUUUCACUUACCAAAAUGCACUUGAAAACUCUAUUUAUUUUUCUGCUACUCAAUGGAGAUUUUGUUAUUCUGCAAUUCAAUUGGUCCUUUUCACUCAUAGUUCUUCCCUUGAUUGUUCUCACUAAUUUAAUUAUACAAGUCAAUCUUGAAUAUGUUCUGAGUAUCUAAUGUAUUUUCUGUCCUCUAUAAUACAUCCUUCUGCACUUUAGCAGAAAAUUUUGGAAAUUUGAGUAGUAUAGUUCAACAACAAAUCUACUUCUAGCACAACAUAAAAGAGAGAGAGAGAACAAAAUCAAAUAAACUCCCAUUUUGCAUUCAUUUCAGACUUUAAUGGGUGAGACAGAUGUGAAAAGGAGAAGUGUGGGUGCUCCCAGUAGCAUGAGAAAUGGAAGACACAAGGCAAUUGAUCCAUCAUUUCUUGUGCAGCUACCAAACAAGCUUCGAAAUUGUUUAAAGCUCAGGAAAUUAGUAAAAGAUAAAGAGGAAGCAACCUCAGUAAGGAAGGAAGAAGGAUCAUCUGCCACUUUGAGGAUUGAUCUUGAGAGGCAAUUAAGAAGUUGGAGAGAAAAUCCUUCAUGGGUUGAUCAGCCUCCAGAGAUAAAGGUCAGUGUACCAAAGGUUUCUCUGUGCAACCUUAAUGUGAAAGUUAAUGUUGGGUUGCCUCCAGCUGCAGUGUAUGAUACAAUGACUGACCCUGACUAUAGAAGAGUUUUCAAAAACAUCAAGGUAAAAUUGAAUUUCUCAUUCUCUAUUCUUUCUUUUCAAUUAGCAAAGUGAUUCCCUAGAAAAAUUAUUAGGUAGUCAAAAAAGUUUCUAUUUUUAGUUGUUUGUUAUUUGUUUUAUUUUUCACAAUAGUUAUUCUUGUGACUAUUUAUUUGAAAUUUUAAGCAUUUCAUCAAAAUUUUAUUUUGAUUUGAGGGGAAAAAAAAAGUAAUAUCCAGGAAAGUUCUGCUUGAUGAGGGUCCAAGGCAGGUGGUUGAAGUGGAACAAUCAGCUGUAUGGAAAUUUCUUUGGUGGUCUGGGACCAUUUCAGUUCAUGUUUUAGUCAACCAGAACAGAAGAUCUGACGGUAAGGAUUUGCAUUUCUCUUUACACUAUUGUUGUUCUUGCUACAAAUAAUAUGAAGCAUGUGUUUAACUCUGCUCACUGAGGAAAGCUUAUUUUUUUUCUCUUCAUUGCCUAUUAUAUCAGCCUCAUAUGUUCAUAGAAUUUCUUAAACAUAAGAGGCAGAUCUGGUCUUAAUGAUUUCAGUGCUCAGAGGCAAGGGUGUGUUAUAGGAAAGCAGGGGCUGUGUGCGAAUUGGAAGUUUAUUAUAUUGGUUUUGGUUUGUACCUUUUAUAUCGGGUGCAUUUUGGCUACCUUGCUGGCAAUAAAUUCUCUGAUCCAUUUAUUCUUUUGGAGUUCAUUUCCAGAAAUUAGGCUUGCUGAACAUAGCUCUCUCCAUAGCCUUAUAACACUCCUAUUUCUAGUCAUAUUGGUUUGAGUAUCUUUUAUUACAUUGUACAUUACCUCAUCCAUAUUUUAUUUUUCAUCCUGUCUUCAUCUUUUACCAUUGCUCCUGAGUUUUGUGGCUCCAAGUCUUAUUCAGAGGUCGUAUAUUGGUAAAUUUACUUUAUAUCACCUUGGUUGUGUUAAACACAGAAAAAUUCAUUCUAGCAGAUUGAUGAUUCUGCCAUAACUAAUGAUUUGCUUGACAGAUGAAAUUCAAGCAAGUGCAAACCGGGUUCAUGAAAAAAUUUGAAGGAUGCUGGAGGGUAGAACCUGUGUUCGUUGAUGAAUGCCUCUGCCAUCCAUUCAAACCUAAAACAUGGAUAGACUAUUAUUCAUGUACAGGAGGCAAAGGAAGAAUAGGAUCAAAGGUGAGCUUGGAGCAGAUAAUCCAGCCAACACUAGUUCCACCACCACCCAUUUCCUGGUAUCUAAUAGGAAUCACCUCUAGGACCACUGAAAUGAUUGUAAAUGAUCUGAUUGCUGAAGCUGCCAGAAUCAGAGGGGAUUUUAGUACUGCAGGGUCCAAAGGAUCUGAAACAUCUCAGGACUUAUACGAUGAACAAGGAAAUGACAAGUCAUCUGAUAUUAAAGAGAAAUGGGCGCCGCAUAGGAGAAAUGCAAAGAAGCAUCACAGAAGAUUGUUGAGUGCUGAAUGAUCUAAUUAAUUGUUAGUUUUGUUCUGUAUUCUUUUGUAAUAUUGGAACUGGAUAGCAAUAUUCAUCAAACAUCUAUAUCUAGCUAAAGAUCUUUGUUCUUUUUCACCACUCUUCAACUGUUAGGUUGUAUCAAUUAACUGUAAGCCCUGUUUGAAAUCAGCUGAUAUAACUGUUAAAGCAAGCACACUGCUCAUAUCAAUUGAGAACACUGAUACUUUCAGC
RNAcentral lists this unclassified non-coding RNA (2896 nucleotides) under Hevea brasiliensis (rubber tree). The record is from RNAcentral. Lineage: Eukaryota; Viridiplantae; Streptophyta; Magnoliopsida; Malpighiales; Euphorbiaceae.